Molecule: long non-coding RNA, 430 nt
Filed under: Homo sapiens (human)
Lineage: Eukaryota; Metazoa; Chordata; Mammalia; Primates; Hominidae
Description: non-protein coding lnc-CTBP2-4:1
Source: RNAcentral
UUCAAGACGGUUGACAGGUAGCAGUAGUGAAUCACAUAUUCUCCUGUCUCAUCUGCCUUAUCAUCAGUGACACAGGCUGCCAACAUCUGAGGUUAAGAAUACAAACUGAGAUCAAUUACACAUAUGAAGCAAUUUGCCUCAUAUAUUGUACAACUAGAUCAUGAGUUCCAAAACUAUGUUAAUCCUCAGACUUUAAAUGUGACAUCCAUAACCCCUAUCAGUGUACAGACAUGGAUCAAGGCCAUGAGCUUAAAAUAUAUUACCAUGAAUGAGUUCAUCACACCCAAGCACAUUUCAAGAGUAAAUAAAUGGGUGUCCCAAUGCUCUGAGGCAUUAAUAAAAGGUAUCGAAACAGCAACAGAAAUAAAAUCCCUCAUGACACUCAGAUAACAUCCUCCUCAAAAGAGCAAAAUGUCAUUACUGUCCUACU